CCCUUAGACACUCUAGGCGGCACGCGCGCUACACUGGGUGGAAGAACGUGUUACUGCCAUCGAAAGGUGGGGUGAAUCACGAAUUCUUGCCCGUGAAUGGGAUAGUUUGUUGCAAUUUUCGGACUUGAACUAGGAAUCCCUUGUAAGCAUGCUCAAGAGUAGCGUGUUGAAUACGUCCCUGCCGUUUGUACACACCGCCCGUCGUUUCUUCCGACUGAUACUCAUUGUGAGUUGCAAGGAUCCUUCAUUGGAGAAUUGCCGCGAAUGCCUUGUAUUGGAGGAAGAAAAAGUCGUAACA
Molecule: ribosomal RNA, 298 nt
Filed under: uncultured eukaryote
Lineage: Eukaryota
Description: partial 18S ribosomal RNA
Rfam family: Eukaryotic small subunit ribosomal RNA
Source: RNAcentral